AACAAGCAAAUCUAGCAGUUGUCUUUCCCUCUGGUACCUCAGCCACUCUAGACUGUGACACAUGGAGGCUCCCAAUGGUCAUGGUUCAAACUAUCCCAAACUAUCCUUGUCUAUCUGAUUCCAUUGGAAGAACUAUAGGACAGAGGGUAAAGUUUAGCUACAGCUAUGCAGGAAGGAGGACUUCUGUUUUCCCACAGUAUGCAGUUGCAGCAGGCAGAAUGAGGUUCCACUAG
RNAcentral lists this long non-coding RNA (233 nucleotides) under Cyanistes caeruleus (blue tit). RNAcentral's name for it is "lncRNA (ENSCCEG00000006623.1)". Lineage: Eukaryota; Metazoa; Chordata; Aves; Passeriformes; Paridae. The record is from RNAcentral.